RNAcentral lists this unclassified non-coding RNA (277 nucleotides) under sea anemone metagenome. Its description in RNAcentral is "partial contains small subunit ribosomal RNA and internal transcribed spacer 1". The stretch from base 1 to 158 matches the Rfam family "Eukaryotic small subunit ribosomal RNA", at positions 1678 to 1831 of the family's 1831-position model. The record is from RNAcentral.
GCUACUACCGAUUGAAUGGUUUAGUGAGGACUCCUGAUUGGCGCCGCCGCCCCGGCAACGGAGCAGCGGACUGCCGAAAAGUUGUUCAAACUUGCUCAUUUAGAGGAAGUAAAAGUCGUAACAAGGUUUCCGUAGGUGAACCUGCAGAAGGAUCAAGAUCGGAAGAGCGUCGUGUUGGGUAUUAGUUUAGAUCUCUGUUUUCGCCGUAUCAUUACAUAUACAUUUUUUUUCUUCUUCUUCUUUCUUUUUUUCUUUUUUUUCUUUUUUUUUCUUUUUU